UACGAAGGGGCUAGCGUUGCUCGGAAUCACUGGGCGUAAAGGGUGCGUAGGCGGGUUUUAAGUCAGGGGUGAAAUCCUGGAGCUCAACUCCAGAACUGCCUUUGAUACUGAAGAUCUUGAGUCCGGGAGAGGUGAGUGGAACUGCGAGUGUAGAGGUGAAAUUCGUAGAUAUUCGCAAGAACACCAGUGGCGAAGGCGGCUCACUGGCCCGGUACUGACGCUGAGGCACGAAAGCGUGGGGAGCAAACAGG
RNAcentral lists this ribosomal RNA (251 nucleotides) under uncultured bacterium. RNAcentral's name for it is "partial 16S ribosomal RNA". It matches the Rfam family "Bacterial small subunit ribosomal RNA", at positions 524 to 776 of the family's 1533-position model. The record is from RNAcentral.